RNAcentral lists this long non-coding RNA (4150 nucleotides) under Malus domestica (apple). RNAcentral's name for it is "long non-coding RNA (MDOM_LNC003236)". Lineage: Eukaryota; Viridiplantae; Streptophyta; Magnoliopsida; Rosales; Rosaceae. The record is from RNAcentral.
AAUUUCCCGCUUGUUUUGCACGAGGACAUGGAUGGAGAAACUUAGUGUCAGUUUUAACAGACCCUAGUUUCAUUAAAGCGACGCGAGUUUCAUUAAAACGACGCUAUGUGAAUUUCAAAAAGUGUGUCAGAAGUUUGCGUCAGUUUUAAGCGACGCUAGUUUCAUUAAAGUGACGUUAUGUGAAUUUCAAAAAGUGUGUCAGAAGUUUGCGUCGAUUUUAAGUGUUGCUAGUUUAAUUCUAGAGACGCUAUGUGAAUUUAAAAAGGUGUGUUAGAAGUUGCUGUCGGUUUAAACCAACGCAAACUAAGUACCCGUAUUUAAACCCUUCUCUUUCCCAUUUCAUCCGUGCUUUCAUUUCUCCCCCAAUUUCAGACUUUCUUCUUAUGCUUUCCCAUUUCAUCUAUGCGUCCCUUUCUUCCUCCUUUUUAGGUUUUCCUCUUCUCCUUCCCCAUUUGCUAUGGAUCACCAUUUUGAUGAUCAACAUUCUGAGGAACUCCACUUCGAAGAGGAAGAGCUCGAAGGUGGUUCAUUUUUAAAUUAUUAUGAUUAUUAAUUUUAGUUUCUGUUUUGUAUUGUAACUAGUUUUAUGCUUAAAUUGAAAAUUUAUUUUUGUUUCUUGGUUUUUAAUUGUUUUUUCUAUAUUUAUAAGGAUCAACUCAACAGAGAUAUGGACUCUCAAUUCCGAAUUGGAAAGAACAGCCUUGUUCGUUUGAUUCGUCUGGAAAAUGUUUGUAAUUCUAGUGCGUUUUCGAAACAUGUAGCGGCAGAGGUUAAAGAUUACAGAAAUAUUUCGAUGGUGGCAUACUGGAAUAAAGAAAAAACAUAAAGAAAUAUUUCGAGGUUAAAGAUUACAAAAAACGUUUCAUGAUUUAUUUUAUUAUACCUUGAAAUUUGUCUAAUGAAUUCUUUUAUUUUUCAGGAGCUUGCCGAAAAAAUAAGCAUAAUCGGCAGUUGAAAACUAUGAACCACACAACCGGUUCAAAAUCUUUUGCAAGAGUUCGGGAAGAAUGUAUGAGUUGUACAUUUUUAGGAAUUGUAGUUAAUUUUAAAUUUAAUAUAUAGUUGGUAGAAAUUUUAUUUUUAAUAUGAAGUUUGCUUAAAAUUGUUUGUUUUUUUCAUUGACAUAUGGUGGGAUUUAUUUUUAUAUAAUAAUUUUCAAUUAUUAUUAAUUAAAAACGGAAAUGAUUUUUUAUUAUUAUUAAUAUAUUUGGUGUCGCUUAUGAACGACAUCAUAAUAAUUAUUUUAUGUAUCCAUAUGUUACGUAAUGUCUGUCAAAACCGAUGGUAGUUUGGAUAUUUUAUAAUUAAAUUGGUAAUAAGCGUCGCUUUAAACCGACGUAAUGUUGAAGUUUGCGUCGCUUUAAACCGACGUCAGUGUCAGUAUCGCUUUUAACCGACUCUACGUACUGGCAGAUUAAGCGUACAAACCGACACUGAAACCCUUUCGCGACACCAACAUUAGUGUCACUAUUCCAAUCCAACAUUACAUUGUUUUAUGUCGGAUUUUUGCUAAAUUUUCGACAGAAAUUGGGUUUCUUGUCGGUUUUUGCUUCGCCACUGAUAAGGUAUAUUGUAGUAGUGCCAGGAAGGAUCCCUUUCCUACAAACAUGACAAAUGUCUUUGUGCUAGCAUGUUGGCUAAUCCUACGUGGCAAACUUAGCCACUCAGUUGUUGCCAUGUGUCAUCAAUUCAUUGGUCCAGCUGAUUUUAAAUUAUAUGAACACUGAACUGUAUUUCAAAAAUGCUACAAGCUCAUAUUAAUUCCUACUAUCUUCAAACAAGGACCUUUUUGAUAAAUUAUUGGGUCUCACAUAGUCGGGGCCAGAGUCCGCGCAGAAGUACUUGAAAUUUGGAUUGAGAGUGAUUUCUUUUGUGGGCAUGGCUGUGGUAAAGUGAUUUGGUCGGAAUGAAUAUUAGUUCAUUCUAAAUGAAAGCAUCAAUUGUUAAAACCAAAUUUGCACACUGUUGUGAAGGAUGGAGAUGCACAAACUUGUGUACUUGUAAAAUAAUAAACAAUCGUAAGCAGCCAAGGACCAAGGGGAGGGGGUGCUGGCCAAAGACUUUCCGACAAUCAAAUUAGUAAGCAAUAUUAUAAUACUCAAGCAGUGGAUAAGAGAAUAAGCACGUGACAAUUGUUUUACGCGAGAUGAACCCUAGAAUGGUGUAUUUACACCAGAGGAUGUCUAAGAGAAGAUAUUGCAUCCUCUUAGGAGUUGAAUUACUUGGGUCCUACACCAAUCCCUAGAUUGUAGGAACUCCAAGAAUAUAGGAAACCUAGUUGAUUUCAUACUGGAUCAGGUUUCCGUAUCUUGCAAAACAAGCAUAACCAAUCUCAGUGAAGUGGUCGAACUUCACCCACUGCUCUAGAACAGGAUGAUGGUGGCAUCGCUAAUCCGUCUAUGUAACUUUGUGAUGGAAGAUGUUGUGUCCAUGACCGAACUUCUAAAGUAAUAAUAUUUCGAUCUACCUUACUACAGCCUAAAAAGACUAUGAUCUCACACAUACGUAAAUGAGAAAUUAAAUUUGAACUAAUUAUUUCUAUCCAUAAUUUUUUUUGUAUGAUUUCCCUCAUCUGAAUUUUUUCUUGUUCUUGGGUAAACUUACAUGUUAAUGUUGCUAUCCUAUUCAUAACUUCUUGACGACAUGCAUCCUUUUCAAUGCAUGACUCAAUGGUGAGUCAAUUGGCAUCCUAUGGAUGAUGGAGCUCUAUCAUGCAAGAAAAAGUUGUGGCAGCUUGUCGUUUCUUUUCUUGUUACGUGCAUGCAUAGAGUUUAUUCUCUGUUCUCUCAGACGACUCUGAUAACCAUUCCCAAGGCCUACACGCACUUGGACAGUUGGGCUCAAUACUCAAGGAGUAUCUUUGUCAAGAGACUGCUACUAUCACAGGAGGGUAAUUAUACAUAAUAUUUGCCACCUUUUAUAUAUGAAUUAUGAACAGGCUUCCACACAAAAAGGAGAAAACUAAACAAAUUUUUAUAAGAGCUAUAGCAUUGUCUUGUUCUCAGUAGCAACUAGCAAUACAUUACUUCCUAAACCAGGUUUGGGGGAUAGGCCUCUAGGUAGAAUAUUCAUUGGUGUACCUGGGGAUGAUAAUUUUGAAAUACUAAAAGCCUGUUUGAUAUUCUAUUUGAAUUUUUUUUAAUCAUUUCUCAAAACAUUUCUUAACAACAUUUCUUGAAAAUAAUUUUAUUUAAGACUCAAAAACUUGAUUGGUUUGCGAUUUAAAAUUUAAAUCUUAUGACUUAAACUAGACAAAAAGAUCAAAAAAGAAAGGGUCGCAUGAGAGGGAGAAAGAGGAGAGAGGAGGAAAGAAGAUAAGAGAUGAUUGAAGGAAAGAGAAAGAAGAGAGAUGAUUGGAGGAGAUAGAGAAGAAGAUGAGUGAAAGAAAGAACCGAGGAAAUGAAGAGAACGGAUUAGAAAAGAGACGAAAAAGUUAAAAAAAAUAGGAGAGAGAAAUACGAAAAGAGAAAGAGAUAGAUUUGGAGUGAUAGGGGAGGAGGGAGAGAAAAGAAAGGAGUGAGUUUAAGUUUAAAAACUCACUUUUUAUGUUGUUAGAGAAUAUACUAUAUUUUUUAGUUAGUCUUGAGUUCAGUUUUUUAAAAUAGUCCUACCAAUCAAGUUUUUAAGAUCUAAAACUUAAAAAUUAUUUUUAAAUUUAAAAAGUUGGAUUCAAAUGAAGUACCAAAUAGAUCCUAAACAACUACAGUCUACAGACCAAUCAUCCUAAUGAGUAAACUAUAAAGAUCUGUUUAGCUUUAUUUAUCAUUGGUAUUGGUAAUAGCAAUGUGGUAUAAUACAAUCAAACUAAAAGCAAAGGCCGUUGUGGAUCCACGUAAGCUUGAUCUCGAGAUAGCCUAUAUGACUUGUUAGAUUGGUACUUUAUCUCGAGAAAGUCCAUGUACAGAAACAAUCAACCUAGCUUAAUAAAUUGUACCAUGAAUGAGAUGGUGAAUGGUGUUGAUACCUCAGAUGAUUAGAGUUGGGGAGAUGAAAAGGAAAGAUGCAGUUGAUGAUACAUGAGAGGAAAAAAAAGGACUUGGAUUGUCUGCCCUCCCGUUUCAGUGCCCUCUCCGUGCCCUCCUGUUUUGUGUGGUCACGGUUAAGCCACGUCAACAUUUUAUAUUGUUUUUUUAUAAAAAUAAUAAAACAA